RNAcentral lists this non-coding RNA (23 nucleotides) under Arabidopsis thaliana (thale cress). The record is from RNAcentral. Lineage: Eukaryota; Viridiplantae; Streptophyta; Magnoliopsida; Brassicales; Brassicaceae.
UGUAGUGUUUACUCAUUAUAGGA